Molecule: non-coding RNA, 788 nt
Organism: Nerophis lumbriciformis (worm pipefish)
Lineage: Eukaryota; Metazoa; Chordata; Actinopteri; Syngnathiformes; Syngnathidae
Source: RefSeq, a predicted model, not a curated record
ACAAGCAACAGUUAGCAAGUCAAGUGCAUCGUUCGUCUAUUUUUUCCUCUCGCCUGAACUUUUAUUAAAAACACGGAGGAUUACAUUUGUACAAUAAAACCGUUUUCUAAAAUGGACUUUCAAUCGAAGCAGGAGGUAAUAAUUAAAGGUAGACCUACACCGGAGCUAAAAGGUUUGCUUCAGACUUCGGGACAGAAGACCCGUUCUUUUCAAACGGCGUGGUGGCUGUGUGGAUGUCCAGCAAGAAACCGCCUUUUCUGCUUUUCCUGUCUUCUUUUCUCUUGUUGUGACAAUGCCUGGACUCAGAUGGGAUAUUGUGACCCGAAGAAUUUGCAGAGAAGCCUCAUCAAACAUGAGCGGUCGACCACUCACAUUCAAAGCCAGAUCGGUCGGGAUAUCCAGGAUAGACUUGGCUUUGGAUGAACAGCGAAGACUCAACAUCAGCACCCACAAUGCUAAGUGUUUUCCCGAGUUUUACCUGUUGGAUCUCCUGUCGUUCCCCUCUGGAUUCUGACUGCCUCCCUCGAUCCUCGACCCCCUCGCAUGGACACUGACUCUGACGCCUCUCUCUCGCCCUGGAUCAUCUGCCUGCCCCACGGACUGUCUUCCUGCAUUGUUCCUCCUCUCGCCCAGCACAUCACGAUUGGAUAAUACAAAAAAAGCAGCACUCACAUCUCUGAAGCGAUUCCAGUGCUUGAUCUUGCGGUUGCUGUACUGCGAGACGGUCGACAGCCACCGCUGGUCCAUCAAAUUGGCGCCUCUGGCUGGCGUCGCUCUCUCCUCCUCCC